AGAGAGAGAGAGAGAGAGAGAGAGAGAGAGAGAGAGAGUCAUUANNNNNNNNNNNNNNNNNNNNNNNNNNNNNNNNNNNNNNNNNNNNNNNNNNNNNNNNNNNNAGAGAGAGAGAGAGAGAGAGAGAGAGAGAGAGAGAGAGAGAGAUUUAUGUUGUGUGACAACACGAUAUGCUCGACUCCCUCGAGCCUUUUAUCAACCAUGCUCAAUUAAACAAGGUUUCUUUGACCUUACAAAAUUAUAGUGACUGUUUUUGUACAAAAAUAUAGUGUAGGGUGUGUGUAUGUAUGAUUUUCCAAAAAAAAAAAAAAAAUUCCGUGUUUUUUUUUCUAAUCACUUUCCCUAUAUUCACUCCAUUUUCCCGCUUAUUUCUCUCAAUAAAAUCCCGCCUCUCUCUCUCCUUUGCCCCAAACGCAGUCCCUCUCUCUCUCUCUCUCUCUCUAACAACCACUUUCUCUCUCUAGCCUUAUCCUCUCCGGCCGCCAUGAACCGUCGCAUCAGAAAGCAAUCCGCUGCCGAGAAGUCCGACAAUGGCUACCUACGUUACCUAAGGCCCGGCGCCCUCGCUCAGCUCCGUGACUCCAAAAUCAACGCUAGAUCUCUUCUACGAUCAUGCAACUCUCAGAUCUAUCUCCAUCGCUCUAUUCCAUCUUCACCUUCACGCUCUUCCGAAGCCGUCGGUUCCAUCCAGCAACAGCAACAGGAAGUUACCGGCACUUUCACCACCACCGAUGGUGAAUUGCCUUUUCACUCCGCAAGGUCAUAUGCGCCUCGUUGUCCACAGAGGAAGAGACUUACGGCUGCAAGAUCGGUGUUUUAUUUGAACCAUAACUCUACCAGUCUGACCUCCGAUGGCCCUGAACCUGCCAUUGACGUUUUUAGUGCCGAUUUCCUUGUUGCUCAUUAGCUUAGCUCAAUUAGUAGUUCCUAUCGGUUAAUAUUGUACUAGAAAAGAACAAUUUUUACAGCAGAUUAGUUGGCGUCGACCAUUCGCGAUCGGAUGACAAGCUCUCUUGUUCCUUCGGGGGUUAUGUGAAAAUUAUGUCAACUAGGGCUCAGAACACAAUAAAUAAAGUCAUUUAUUGUUCAAUUGAUUUCACUCUUGUUCCUAAAUCGCUUUUAUUUCGAGAUUGAUAUGCUAUUUAUACUCUAAUUAGGGUUCUUAAUCUUUUUAAUUACUGAUUGUAAAUGCAUAUAGUUGGGAUCUGAAGAGCCUAUUCCUUCAUUGAUUAUUUACUGGCUUUAUAAUCCGGUUUGAUAGUCUCAUAUGAUUCGUAUCAUAUUCUGUAUGUCUGAUUCUUCAUUACUCAUAAACAUGGUAUUCAACACCUCCUUGUUGCAAUUUUUGAACAAUGCCAUGGAUCUGUUCUUGCAAUAUAAUCUGAUUCUGCCAGAAGCCAUAAGAUACUUCAAUCAUACUGUAAGUUUAUCCAAAGAUGUUCAUUAGUAAAUGCUUCUAUUAUUGUUAUCUCUUAUAAGAGUUGAUAAUUCAUACAAAGUACUAAUGCCAACUGGGAGAAGGGACUUCAUUUACAUAGUAAGUGAUUUUAAUACUUAAGUCGUUAUGUCAAUUUUGUUAUACAAUAAUACAAGCUAAAUUGAGCUAUUAGAUUAAUGAAGUCACACAACUUUUGUUGUAGUUUUAAGUUACAUGCUAUUUGUGUUACAAAGAUCUUAUAAAAGAAAGAAUUAGCACAUUGUCCUAAAAAGGCGAAAAAGAGGUUGAAAUUAAUGGUUGUGUGUUUGUAGUAUACUUUAUAAAUUUUGAGCUUUGGCCUUUGAGUUUCAACUCAAUGAGCAACUAUCAAACAACUUUGUGAUGUUACUUUAUUGGUAAGAAUUAGUCAUAUUUUUACAUUUGUGUGUAUUUUGUAUGGUUUUCUAUAUUGUGCUUUUUAUAGAUUUAUUCAAACUAACACAUAGUCAGGGUAUUUGUAGAGAAAUGAAAAUGAGCUCAAUUGGCAUAUGGAAGUGGAAUAAGGUUUUUGUUUCUGCAUACUUUUCAGCUAUUUAUCAACUCAACAAUCCAAAAAGCUUAAGAUAUCUUUACUUUAGUAAAGUUUUGUUAAAAAGCUUAUUUAUGGGUCGCACAAUAAUUUCUAUUUCUUAGUAAUAAGAUAAAAGAAUAAAAUAUAGUUAGAAUUGUAAAAAGCUCUAUGUAGAGAGCUUGUAAAUUCGCAAAGUAAAAAAAAAUAUGUAAUGAAAAAGCUUUUAAAUUUAUUUGACUGAAAAAACUUUCAAGUAUGCUCCUAUUAGGGGUGAGCAUGGGUCGGUUUGGAUCGGUUUUGAUCUAAAACCGAUCCCAACCCAAUAAAAUCGGUUUUCAAAAAAUAAAAACCGAACCAAGAACCCAAAUCAUAGGUUCGGUUUCUCGGUUUUUAAUUUCUUCAUGGGUCGAUUCCAAGUUUAAACCAAACCCAAUAUUAACUCAAGUAAACUGAUAUGGGGCAAGAUAGAGGUACCGAUUCCUUAUAUUAAGGGUGAAACAUGCAUAACUUUUAUACAUCCGUUGAUGUGGGAUAGACCAAGUUCCAAAUUAAAAUAGAAAACUUGGGGAAACCCUUGACAUCAGGUUCAAGGGGAAGACGCUCAACGGCUGGGUCAAGAGGGUGUUUGCUUAUCUAAUUCGCGCCUUAGCUAUAUAUAUUUAUAUGAUUAUAUAUACAAAAAUAUGGCACUCAACCGUUGAGUCGGUUUCUCGGGUUGGAUGGGUCGGUUUCUAGGCAAAAACCGAAACCAAACCCGAUAUUUCGGUUUUUAAAAACUUGACACCCAAACCGUCGGUUUUGCUUCGGUUUCGGUUUCGACGAUUUUGGUCGGUUUUCCGGUUUCUUGGUUCGGGUUUGCUCACCCUAGCUCCUAUCGUGAUUGUGAAGGAUAAACAAGGUAGUAGAAUGGGAGAUUACAUUCCAUGGUUCCACCAUCAUGUUUAGUUGGUUUGUAGGAGUGAAAUUAAUUUUCAUAUGGAUUUUUUAUAUUAUAUGUAAAUAUAGUAUAUAAAGUUGACUUUAUUGUAUACGUUAUUGUAAUUAUACAUAACAAACUUUUAUUUAUAGAAUUAUAAAAAACAUAAACAAAUAAAUAAGCUUUAAUAAAAAUAAUAUAUUUUGUAGUUUGAAAAAUGAAAUUGUAAUAUAAGUAGGAGUAAAUUACGUAAUAUAAGUAGGAGUAAAUUACACGAAUCGUCAAUUGUACAAGUGUCAAAAUGCACAUUUGGUCCCUAUUUAAAAAAAACAACUUGAAUCGUCCAUCGUUUGUUUUAUAUUUGCACGCUUCAUCAUUGAAAGAUGUUUUUGUUGCGUUUUUGGUCUGUUCUAGAUUUAAAAUGACCAUAAUGCCCUUUUGUAUUUAUUUGAGUUAAUCUAAUAACAUUUAUUAUUAUUUUUAAAUUAGAAAGAAAAUGGGUCUCACUUCCACCACCCAUACCCUCUACUUUCACUUCACCCCACCCAAGUUUCUAUCCCAUUUUGUUCUAUGAAUCUUUGAACCUGAAAAACACCACACACCAUUGUCAACUCCUAAACUCCGACAAUUGCUACCUUCGACAACCAUCACCUCACCUAUGUCAUCUGCCUCCCGCGAACAUCAAGAAACCACAUCAUAACUUUGUGUUCCAUAUCUACCAUAGAUGAACUUGAUUUAGGUUCGAUCUAGGGUUUCUUAAAAAUCAAGUUCAAAAUUAGAGUUAUACGAAUGAUUUUAGAUCUGAAAACGAUUGUAGUGUUUGUGUUCUUGUUUCGGGUUUAAUUUAUGGGUUUGUGUAGAAAAAACAAUACACACAUAUACCGCCAUCUUGCUCAUGGAGUUCUAUGGUUUUUUUGCAGCUUGUUCUCCCUUGCCGAUAUGCACCUCGACAGGCAUCAUCGACUGCCAAAUCUAAAAUCGUAUCUCGAUCUACACCUUAGAGGCAACGUAGAUGGUGGAGAUGGGAUCAGCCACAAAAGCUUAAGGGGGUUAUCGACUUUGGUUUGGGUGUAGUUAUGGUAGUUGAUGCUCGAUAUUAAAGAACACAAAUAAAAUUAGGAAGAAUGGGGUUGGGUUGUAACACCAAUCAAAUUCAGGUCAAAAAUGAAAUGUUCAAAAAUCUCAACUAGGAUAUAUAAAGCAAUAGAUAUCGUGACAAGGUUUUCAGAAAUAUAAAAAACACUAAAAUCCGGGUUAUAACGAAGAAGUUAUGACCAACCAAAGAUCCGCAACAAAAUUGGUAAAACACUGUUAAGUAGAAAACGCGAAAUUCCAAUAAAAUGCUUUUUAACCUUAGGUAUCUAAAUGAAAGUCGUAGACAUCAUUAAACCGUAAACGUAUAUAAAAAGAACGUACAAAUCUAACUUCGUAUGAGGAAGUUAUGAUUUUUCUAAGUUUCAGAUAUAGCAGUAGACAACUAAAAACUCGAAACAGAGAUCGAGUGACUUUUAGCCGACACAACCUAAACGAGAAUCGAAGAUCUCGACAAUAGUAGUACAACGGUAAAAAGACAGACAAAAACGGACGUCGGAUGAAGAAGUUAUGGAUUUUUAACGGACUUUUCCAGUCCCAGCUUGUUAAAAAUAUAAUAUUAAAAAUAAAGUCAAAAUUAGCCAACAGAGUCUAAACGAAAGUUGUAAAUCAUAAUCUCACCUACGCAUGGAUAUAAAGAACAUCAAAAUCGGAGCUUGUAUGCAAGAUAUAUGAAGUUCUGAAGUUCGAGACACGAAUUCCCACCCUGUCAGAGGACUCACGACGUGAGCCUGAAGCUCACGACGUAAGCCAGGGAUGGAUAGGGUCCAACGUCGGGCUGUCAUAAGUCGAGUCAGCAGAUGGAUAUGAUCGACCUCACGACGUGAGCUCCAAAAUCACUCCGUAUAUAUAGAAAUCGAAGGUCUCGGGUUUAGGUUGCUCAACUCUACUUCCCUUUCUACUUUUACUACGUGUUAAGCAUCCCGAGACUACCCGACACCCCAGUUACAUGUUGAAGCCCUGGCGGAACCCCGAAGUCCCGAAGUUCCAAAGAUUUCCGAGAAAUCGACUUCUUUCCGGUCGAAGUGUUGCCCGAGCAAAGUAUCAUUUUCAUCAAAAAUCGUCACUUCUACCAAAUGAGAUCAUACCCCUAUCACUACACUUUCAAAUACUUUUAAAUGAUUUUAAACACUUUUAAGUGGGGAGGGGGGGAUACAAGUAAACACAUGGUUAAACUCGUGCGAGAAACAUCAAUCUUUUGUUAUACUUUUCAUAUUGUUGUUAUAACUAUCACAUGAAGUUGUAACAUGAUCCUGAAGCUCAUGACAUGAAGUUCUUAUACUUUUCAUACUGUUGUUAUAACUAUCACAUGAAGUUGAAAUUUUAAAAUUUUGGUGUAAUAUUUGAAAAUUAAAGUUUUUUUAAUUUUUAAAAAAAUUCCCGCCUAUGACCGCCAAGGCCGACUUUGAUCGAUUUUGACCAAUUUCCGCCAAGCACACUAAUCGUAAUCGGUUUAAGGCCGCCAAUCGAUUAAUCGCAGAUUAAUCGGCCACCAAGGCCGGUUUCUGCAACACUGUGUUUUAUAAAUAGAAAUAUAUUUUAUUUAUAUGUUUGCAUACUACAUCAUACCAAGGGUAACCAUUUCAACUAUAACAUUACGUUUAUACAAGAAAAAUACAACUCAUUAUUAUGCUUUUGUCAACACUGUAAAAAGGGUAAUCAUUUCAUAAAUCAUUCAUAUACAUUUCAAAAUACGUGACUUAAUUGAGAAUAUGUGAGUCAUUCGUCUUCAUCGUACCUAUCAAGGUAUACAAGAAAGCCAUGUUUUAUAACCAGAGUCUCCGUUCAGAGAACGUGAUAAGUGUGUAUAGAUCUAUAUAGGACUGAUGAUCCCGCACCUUGACUGUUAGCUACAGUCUGCAGGGUGACAAAUAUCAUAGUAUUUCGACGCCUGAAGAACGUCGCUGCAGGAAAAUUCAUCUUAGUACGGUUAUGAAAACUCACAGGAUAGACAAUUAUUAUGGUAUUAUGUUUUUACGGGAAAAAGUAAUAUUACAGUUGCUUUUACGUAUAAUUACAAGCUUCCUAUAGUUUUGAUUUAUAAUAAAACUACACAUCAUCAUUUAAAGCAUGACAUAUUUGCUUACAAGUUACAGUCUUGGACAUUUAAGACUGCUUUUCACUUUUAGGAAAAUAUAGGUUUUCCUUGUUCAAUAAAUUCAUUUCAUACAAACAACGAUUCAUAACUCAUUUGAUAAGAAAAUAUCGGAUUUUCUGGAAAACAAACGUGAACUUUCGAAUGGCAUACAUUUACACAAAUAUCUACUUAUGAACUCACCAACUUAAUUGUUGACACUUUUUCUUUGAGAUAACUUGUAUUCUCAGGAAAUCGCUAAACACCAGGUUAGCAACUACUUUUGGGGACUAAUGCUCUGUCGUUAGUAACAUCGUUUGGAGCAUCAUAUUGUAUUUGACUUUCGAAAUAUGUAAUACAACAAUCAUGUAAACUUUUCAAGUAUAUAUUAUGGUGGUGUGUAAUUUCUUUACUAUUCAAUUGUUAUGAUACUGUACAUGACGUCAUCCGUCCCUGAAUGUUUCCGCCAUUCAGGUUUGGGGGUGUGACAUGGGUUGAAGGGGUUUGGUGGUCCAAAAAAAAUCCUCCCUCUUUCUCCUCUAAACCUACUGGUCGGAGAAGAGGAGAUGUUGGCAUAGUUGACUUCUCCAAUGGCAUCUCGAAGAGAACGAAGAAACAAGAAGAAAGGUAAAGGGGCGAUGGCUAGGGAAGGAGGGUGGUUGUCGGCAUUGGAAAUGGAAGUUUCCGACAUUCAAUUUUACCAUAUUUUGGUGGUGAUGUCUAUGGUUAUCGAUGAGAGAAGGGAAAUGAUAAAUGGUGAGACACAUUAUUUUUCUAAAGAGGGUGGAGUGGGGCCACAAUUUAAUUAGUUUUUUUAAUAAUUAAAAAUAAUCAAAAAUCUUAAAAAUAAAUAGAAAAGAGCAAUAUAGUCAUUUUAUGUAAGCGGGCAACGUCCAAUGGCAUAAGGGAUGGUCCGAGUUAACUUUUAAAAAUAAAAACUAAAGUUAAGGUUUUAACUUUGUCCACAUUAGGUCCUUAAGGUUUUUUGUACAUAUUACACCAGCAUGGUUGUUAUAACCGUUUAAAAAAUGUAAUAUGGUUUUAGUUUUGUCCGCAUUAGGUCCCUAAGGUCUUUUUUAUACAUAUUACACCAACAUGAUUGUUAUAACCGUUUAAAGAGGUGGUAAUAAGGUUUUAAUUUUGUCCACAUUAGGUCCCUAUUUUUAGUAUUUUUAUUAUUUAAUCUAACUCUUUUACAAUUUAUAUUAGUAUCUAGUUAGAUGACUUCAUCAUUUAAUUUUCUCAUUUUAGUCGCCCAUUCACCGCACCUACGGUUUCAAUUGAAAGGUUACAUAACAACUACCAUUUCUACAACAAAAAAAUCUAAUUAUAAUCAAAGUCUUAAUGAUUAAGGCUAUGUUUGGUGUGCCACAGCUAGCUGAUAAUCUAGUUUAUUUUUUGACGUUUUUAAGUUGUCAUGUUUGGCAAGCCAAAAAGUAAUUUAUAAGCUAACAUUUUAAAAAGCUAUUUAUACUAGUUUUUUAAAAGUUUUUUAAUUUUUAUCCAAAUAUACCCCUUAAUUAAUUAAGAAAAUAUAUUUUUUAAAUGCUUUUUUAUCUCAUUAUAUAAAUUUUAGAUAACUUAUAAGCCCAUGGUGGAGCCAAUGUCAAAGUAAAAAAGUAUCCACAAAAAGUAAUGAGGUAUCCUCGCUAAGUAAUGACUCUGCCAUUGGGGUAUCCCUGAUACGCCAUUACUUAUUGAGAAUAUCCCAUUACUUGUCGGGAUACUCUUUUGCUUUAACACUGGUUCCGCCACAAGCUUAUAAGCUAUCUGAAAUUUAUAUAUUGACAUAAAAGAGCAUUAAAAAUAUGUUUUCUUAAUUAAUUAAGGGGUAUAUUUAGAAAAAAAUAUUAAAAAACUUUUAAAAAUAGGGACCUAAUGCGGACAAAAUUAAAAACUUAUAACCCCUCUUUAAACGGUUAUAACAACCAUGUUGGUGUAAUAUGUAUAAAAAACACCUUAGGUAAUAUGGACAAAAUUAAAACCUUGUUACAUUUUUUUAAAGACAAAAUUGCAAAAAUGGUGCCUAUGGUAUGCAUUUUUUUGGGGUUUUAGUCCAAACCUCAACUUUUUUGGAUUGAUGGUCCUUAUGAGUUGGUUUGCUUAUAGUUUUGGUCCCUCGAAAAACUAAAAAGACUAAAAUACCCUUGAGGUAUUUCUUUUUCAUUUUUUUUAUCUAUUUUUAUAAUUAAAAAAAUUAAGAAAACUCUCUCUCUCUCUCUCNAUAAAAAAAAAAAAAAAAAAAACUCUCUCUCUCUCUCUCUCUCUCUCUCUCUCUCUCUCUCUCUCUCUCGUUGAACCACCACCAAAGGUGGAAACCGGUCACCGGAAAAGUGCAACAGCCCUCCUCCACCUCUUUCUCUUGUCAACUAAUAACCCCAACACCCUCUUCUACAUGGAUACUUUCUCCGUCGCUCCGAAAGCUGCCAAAGAUGAAGAACGAGCCACGAAGGGCUCGUCGGAGACACCAACUGCCACCUCUACCCCGUCUCUUCCAUUCGUCAAGAAAGCACCUCCGACUCCCCACUAGAAUCGUUUUCCAUUACNNNNNNNNNNNUGUUUCCGGCAACGAGGACUCGACUCCUCCUCCUUCUUGUCGAACGGAACAGCCCAAACACUACCUGAGAAUCGCUGCUCCUUCUGCCAUUUCGUUUGUGAUUUUCGUCGAAUUAGAAAAACAGCCAAGGGAAGCCGCCGACUCUUUUCCUUCGCGAAUCGUUGCCGGAGGCCGACGUCCGCCCCUCCUCACGAUUUCAUCAGCCACUCCAAUGUCAUCGUUGCUACCGAUUUGUUUCUUCCUCCGAUCAGAUGAAGAUGCACUCCCUUUCGAUUGUUCGUGUGUGUUAAAGUGCAAACCUACAAAUUGAUUUCCAAAUACGAAACGAAAAAUAGUUCCUGCUCAAAAAUAUAAACCCAUGUGAAUCAUUUUCCAAAUUUUAUGUGUGUAUGUGUUGAAGAACUUGUGUAUUUUGAAGAACAAGAUAAACAAUUGUGUGUUCAGGAGAGAGAGAGAGAGAGAGAGAAUGGGGUGUGGGCCCCACUUUAUUAUCAAUAAAACAUUAAAUUAAAUAGAAAAAAAUAUAAAAAAUAUAUUAAGAGGGCAAUUUAGUCAUUUCAAAUUUCGGAGAGACCAUUUUUACAUACAAACUAGUCCAAAAGGACCAUGAAUCCAAAAAAGUCGUCGUUUGGACUAAAACCCUAAAAAAUGCAUACCACAGGGACCAUUUUUGCAAUUUUUCUUUUUUGAACGGUUAUAAUCAUCAUGUUGUUGUGAUAUGUAUAAAAAAAUCCCUUAAGGACCCAACGUGGACAAAAUUAAAAUUAUCAUCUUAAGUCAUUAAAAGUUAACAAGCAAUUUAACGAAAUUUAACGAAAGACAAAUUGUGUAAUUUUCUCUAUAAGUAUAAUAAUAACUAGAUGGGGAGCCCCGCGUUACAGGGGAUGGAUUUAGGCAACAUCGAUCAUUUUGUGUUUUCAUGUCCAUUUCAUUGCUCUUGUGUUCAACUAUAGUUCAUUGCCUUAAUUGGUAUUCAUCGUAAAGUAUGUUGCUGUUUUCUGCAAUUCGCCCAUUUAUGUAAGGACGUAACAAAAUAGAACAAAACUUUAUGAAUUAUGUAUGUGUCUGUGUAACACCCGGAGUUUAGAAGUGCAAGUUCAAGGUGCUUGGUGUAAUUAAGGAGGAUCGACUCAGCGAGUCCAUGGAUAGACUCGGCGAGUCGAGUCGCGAUUUUGGUCGCGUGUUAAGUGACCAACUCGGCGAGUCGGCAGCUGGACUCAACGAGUUGGUGCUGAAGGGAGAAAAACCCUAAUUUGGGGUUUGUGCCAUAUAUAAAGCACAUUAUAGCCACCCUCAACCUCUUUACCUUCCCUUUUAGUUCCAAAAAAACCCUAAUUUCGUGUGAGGCUUCAUUGUUGGAAAGAUUGGGGCUUAGAAGAGGAAAUUGUGAAAGGAGCUUGAGAAUUUGGAGUUAGCAUCAAGAGGCUUGUAAAGAUCUGGGAUCAACAUCAGAAUUGUGCACAUCUUUGAGGUAAGGAGCUCUUACCUUAAGCUAUUUCCCUUGUGGUUCAUCCUUGGUGGUUGUUUUGAGAGUUCCUCAAUUUGUUUUGAGACCUAUCUUGGAUUUGGAGUUGGAUCUGGGGUUGCUACUUCAGAUCUAGACUCAUGAUGGCCUAGAUUGUCAUAAAACUUCAGUCCUUGAGUUGUUAGUGAAUCCCUUUGUCCUAAAAGUCUAGCCCUAGAGCAUUUUGGGCUCAAAGCUCCUGGAGUUCACGUAAAGUUUGCCACUUUACGUGAGGAAUGGCUUGUAGAAGGGUAGAUCUAGGGAUUUGAGCCCUUACAUGGAUUGGAAAGCCUCUGUAUGGAAUGAGAACUAAAGAGACUCGGCGAGUUCCAUGGGUGAACUUGACGAGUUGGUUGAAGGUUGGCAUGGACUUGACGAGUUGGAAGAACAACUCGGCGAGUCUGUUGAAUAUUGUCUUGGACUCGGUGAGUCUAUUCUUGGACUCGGCGAGUCUGGCCGUGGAGUCCUAACCUUUUUCUGGCUGAACGGUGAAUCGGUGAGUCGAGGGAUGACUCGGUGAGUUGAGCGAGAAGGGACUCAGAAUUGGGGGACUCGACGAGUCGACGGGGCGACUCGGUGAGUAGGGUCACACAGGAAGGUUGACUUUGACUGAGGACUUUGACUUUGACCAAGAGUUGACCAGUGGACUUCCAAGGGUACUUUGGUAAUUAUUGGUAUUUAUUGAGUUCAGUCUUUUGGUAUUGAUCAGUGGUGGAGUUCGUGCCGAAGGUUGGAGCAGCAUGAUCUUAUCUCUUCAGUCAGCAGUUGCGAGGUGAGUUAUCCUCACUAUAUCAACAUGGUCUAAGGCACCAUGGUCGGCCCUUUAUCGGAUGGAAAUCCGGGUCGUUGUUAUGUUAUUACUUUGCUAUAUGUUUGCAUCCUGGUAGUUAGGAUGGUAUAUGUUCGAGACCUGGUUAAGGUCGGAAUCCUGGUAUAUAGGAUGAUGCUAUGUUAGUGACCGGUUAGGUCGGAAUGCUGGUAUAUAGGAUGAUGCUAUGUUAGUGACCGGUUAGGUCGGUAUCUUGGUUAAAGUGUGUUAUGUAUGUGAUAUACUAGAUCGGUUGAUUAGUGAUGAAUUGCUAUACGAUUAUAUGUUUAUGUGCGCAUGGUCGGUGACUGGGGUUGGGUUGAGGCGGAUCCUGCUUUGUGUUGUAGGCCAAAAUACACAGGGUGGACCGGAUAUCCCGAAGGCCCAGUGAGCAGUCCGGAUACGUUGUAGGCCCCACGAGGGCGGACCAGACGUGCCGAGGCUCGGAGAGUGGAUGAUGUGUGUAAAACCAACUAGUUUUAAUCCUACUAACUUAGACACAAAAUAACACACGAAAGGCAGUGUACCUAUCGAUUAGUAAUAUAGUUCAAGCAAGUAGGGUAUCGAACACAGGGAACGGUAAACAAUUAAAAUAAAUGCUAAUAUUAUCUAAAUAAAACAAAUAACAAAAAGGGGGUUUUCUCUAGUUUUACAAGACUAGAAACUUAAUUAGAAUAACUAGCAACUAAAACAAUUAAUUACCAACUAAAUUCAAUAGUAAAGAGGACUUCUGUUUAGGUACGACUCAUUUGUUCCCAUGGAUGAUUUUAAUGUAUCGGAUUAAUUCUUCAUUGGCUACCGAUUAAGAUAAUUAGGUUCACGUUCGCUAUUCCUAAUUCUUAGAAAACAAAUUAAUUCAAGCAAUGGCCAGUUGUCUAAAUUAACGGGUUUCCUAGAUUAUUGAUUCGGGUUAAGUAAGACUUGUAAUUAGCUAAGCAAAUUGGUGAUUCUAUUAACCUCUUGUUGAUGGUGUAUCACACAAGCUUACACAUUAACUUACCUAUCUUCUAGUUAAUUCUAGUUUCACGUUCGUUAUUCCUAGACAUACAACUAUGUGGUCACAAUAAAUCAUAUGAAAUUAAUAACUAAGAGAUGUUCAUACAACUUAAUUACUGAUUUAUUAACAGAAGAAUAGUUAUUGUCAACACAUAAGGUUCUUUAACAAGCUUAACAAAACAUAAUUACCAAUUAAAAUUAAUCCUACUCAAAUAAUCAAUCCAUGUUCACAAAAUUGUCUACCCUAACAGAAGAAUAAGUUUUUAGCUCAUGAUUGCAGUAAACAUAAACUCAAAAACGAAAUCAAAGUAUGUAAACAUGAUUCAAAUCAAAAAGUUACUAAGAAUAAACCAAAAUUGUCUUGAUUCUCUUCACAAUUGAAUGUAGGGUUGAUUCUUCAGUUCCUCACGACCUAGCAGCACUUCCAAUCGUUUCUCAGCCUCCUAGGGUUUCUCUCCAUGCUAGGGUAUCGAUCUGAAAGUCCCUUUAUAUAGAUUUUCACAAAACAGAGGCUACUCGGCGAGUCCAGUGACCUACUCGCCGAGUACAUCACUUAAAACCCGUGUACGGCAAGUCAGCGCGUCCAGAAUCGCGAAAGUUUGAUAUAACUCGCCAAGUAAUCGACCCUACUCGCCGAGUACGUUUCGAAUCAACAUUUUCUCAAAACAUGAAAGUCGUCCGAAAUUGUGUCUACUUUUCAGAACAUUUUGAAUCUCGUCAAUCGGAGUUACGGUUCAUGAGAUAUGGCCAAAACACUGACGAGGGGUCAAGUUGUCCAGCAACAUCCUUCUUUCUUCAAAGUGCAAGAUCCAAGCCUCCAAUCGCUAGUUCCGCUUCCUUUUCCAUCCGAGCAUGUAAUUGUUGCUGAAAAAUGAAAUUAUAAACUAAUUAAGUACCUUUUGUUCAUUAAAUGAGAUAAAAUCAACAUAAAUUAUUAAGAUAAUGCAUGAAUUUUAUAACUAAAUAUGUCCAUAUCAGUGGACCAGGCCGACUGAAGGCCCGGUGCGCGGGCCAAUCAUACUGUAAACUCAGAGAGUGGUCCAGGUGGGUUGAAGGCCCAGUGCGGGCGGACCAACCAUACUGUAGAAUCGAUGUAUAUGGCUAGACUCGGAGGGUGGACCAGGUGGACUGAAGGCCCGGUGCGAAGGACCAAUCACACAGCAGACCCGAAGUGCAUGGUUGUUCUGUUUAUGAUAUGAUAUGUUAUGUGUAUGGUAUAUGUGGUUGGUAUUUUGGGGGUAACUCACUAAGCUUUCAGGCUUACGAUUUUCAGUGUAUUGUUUCAGGUAUUUUAGGAGAUCGUGGCAAGACGAAGGCAUGAUCGUACCGCUCCUCAUGUUUUAUGUGUUUAUGAUGUGGUCUUGGGAAAUACUCUGAUAAUAAAUGAAUUGAAAACCUUUUUGUAAUAAAUUAACAAAUAUGAGUUGUUUUUGAAAAGUUUAAAUUAGUUGAAAAUUUUGAAUGUUACAGUCUGACAAUAUAUAAAUAGGUGAAAAAGAUUUUGAUAUCAAUUAUGAAUCCCAAAAGUGUUACGUUGGAGAAUAUAAAGACUGUAAUUUGGAGCGAAUAUAAAGAAUGUGAGAUAAUAGUUUUUAUUGACCACACAGCAAAAUCAAGUUAAAUCCACUUAUUCAUCUAAUAUUACAAACACACAAAGCAAGCAAAAUAGGUUAAAUGUCAUGUUUUUACAUCUUUUUAUAGGAGAUCAAAUAUUGUAUCCAAAAAGAGUAGAAUAAGAUGUAUACAACUGCCAAAAGAAAAAAGACAAAUAUACUCUCAUUAUCAUCAAAUUUUUGGCGAGUCUCAAUAGUCUUAACAACUCCACUUCUUAAUCCACAAAAAACAUUAUAGCUUUCUCUGUUCUGUUCUGAUCAAUUGCUCUAGAAGGAUGGAUUCAAAGCUGAAAAAAAUAAACAUUAAAUUGAAUUUAAUACAACAAUAUGCAAACAAAUUGAGUCAGAAUAACAUUGUUCUCUUACCAGCAAAUGUGCUAUGAAAAUUAUUGGAAUUUAUGUGCUCCAUUGUUGGAUCAUUUGGGUUGAGCAACAUGAAUAUAAGUUCUCUUUCAGAUGCAAGGGCCUGAACUUGACAGAAACAAAAAAGUAGUAAAUGACCAUUUUAACAUUUUGUUUGUUUAUAUUGAAGACUAAUAUCAUACCUGAUGCACUUCAAAAUAUAUUUUUUGUGUUAGGAUUCAAUAAAAAUUCAUCUAUCAUAUUCUCAAUUCAGAUCAUUGAGUACUUCCAAAUGAACCAAUUGGUAUUCAAAAGUACAUAAUAUAAUUUGUCCCAUUGUGAUUUGGAUUUUCUUACCAUGAAAUUUGGUAAUUCUCGUUUUGUUCGUCCUCUGCAUUCAAACAUCCUAAAUCUACUUCAAUAUUAAUUCAAGCAAUUGUCUUUGUUGUUGUAUAAACACGUUUACAAAGUUUUUAUUUGACACAAUUCGUAUGGGUUUCCUGUUAACAAUGUAUGAACCUGAAAUAGUAUUACAAACUUUAGAGUAAUAAAAAAAUAUAGUUAACAACAAUAUAUCAAUAAUAUCACUUAAAGAUAUUAAUAUCGACUUCUGAACAUAUAAUCCCGAAGUGUAAAUUACAUUUUUGGUCAAUUAGGCCUGAUUUUGGUCAGGUUCUGCAAUAUUGUUCCUUAUUUCAGUUCCCUUAAUGAUUUUCGUCCUCCUUCCAUGAAAAAUGACUAUAUUUACCUUUUUUUUAUUUUUAUUUUUUAUAGAAAUUUGUUAUUUAGUAUAACUUUGAAUUCACAAAAUUAGAUUAAAUCACAAAUAUUUAUUUAAGAGUAAAAAAAUACAACUAUAGUCAUUUAUUUGGUACAAAGGAUCAAAAUUGUUACGACACUUCAGAAAAAUGACCAAAACUACAACUGAAUUUUUGCAACAAAAGUUAUAAAAAUCAGGUAUACAAAAGGACCAAAUCAAGCACCAAAACGUUGUCGUCCUUCUUUUGUGCCCCAAAACUAAGUUUGAACUUUAAAACAAAUUUAAAUAUGUUUAGUUUCAAAAAAGCAUAUUAAUAAAUAUAUAACACAUGGUCUCAAAUUCUACAAACUGAAAUUUGUUGGUGUUUAAUUCAAUAAAAAAAAAUACGUGUGGUUAAUCUGAAAUGCAAUAGGCUUAACCUCAAAAACUAACCCCACAGUUUGCAAUAAGCACAAAAACAUAGAUUUUGAGAUUACUUGCACUCUAGUCAUUUUUACACUUAAAAGGACGAUUUACAAAUCUUAGGCACAUCAAAAACUUGCUUGAAUCACCACCAAUGUAAAUACUAAUUUAUCAUGUGUCAUAUGCUAAAAUUGAACGACUUGAUACAGAAAUGUAAUCAACAAUUAGUGAAAUAGAAUCAAUUGAUCCCAAACUUUUAGAGAAAAUAGACUCAAUUAAUCCCCAACUUUAAGAGCAAGUAACAUAUAGUUUCGUUACAAAUUUUGACAGAUAUGUGCCAAAAGGGUUUAGGCUUUAAAAACCAAAUAAAUAUAUAAAGAAAGUUGACCAUAUUGUACCUUUAUUAUCUUCUAGCAAAUUCAUUAGUUUCUUAGCCAACUGCUACAUGCAAAAUUGUAGAGCUACUAUAACUGUUGUGUCAUGACCAUGUCGGCAGACAGAUAUCUAGUCAACAAAAUGAAAGAAAAAACAAAAAUAAAUUCAUUGACAUUCUAUUAAUCAGAUAAUUGGAAAAAGAAAACCUAUCUUUCCUCAUUUACUCACCAAGAAUUAACAUUUUUUUUCAAAUUUACUUAUAAACUCCAUAGUAAACAUAAGGGUAAGAUGGUCAUUUAUUCCAAACAAACAUUAUUUAUCCACUCAACAAAAAAAAAACAUUUUCAAGAAAAUAGUUGCGUACUUGGAGGCGACUUGCUAAAUUUUCCCUAGUAAUUCCAUCCAAAUAUCAUCAAAUCAAGAAUCCGUUUAGACAAAGCUUCUGCAUUUAACAGAAGCAACAAACUUUAUAUGAAAGAUCAAUUGACCAAAAAACAUGAGGCUUCUUUCGGGGGAUAAAAUGUAAUUAGAAUUAUAAUCAUAAAUUUAUAAACAUGAUUUAUUACAAAUGCAUAGAACAGUUGGAAGAAAAGAAGCUCACAGAAAUCAACUCUUUGUGAGCACCCUGUAAUUAAUCAUUGGUUGAUCUUUAUUUGAUUAUCAAUGCUUGAUUAAGGCAUUAAGCGCUUCAAAAUCUUGAAGUUCCUCUUCUUUUUCUUUCAGAUCUUUUUCAGUGUACUCUAAUUUAUUCUUUGCUCCAACAUCCUCAGUGGACUCUAAUUUAUUCUUUCCAGGCUGCACAUGAGCUGAACUUAUCAGCUCUAGUUCAUAGCUUUGUCUAAUGGAUAAAUAAUUACAGAUUUUUAGAAGAUUAGAACCUGAAAUUUGUGAAUAUUCGAUGAAGACUUCACAUAUUAGUGGCUCCAAAAGAUUAGCAAGCAAUUUAUCUGCUUUGAAACGGAAAAGAAAAUAAUAAUUAUUUUAUUACUUAAUGAAUCAAUGUCAAAAAAAUACUACAAAAGGAUAUGUUAUAGAAUAUUAAAAUAUUGAUACCUUGAAAGGAUGUAGAACUAAAGAACCUGGGCUUGUACAGUAGAUUGAUGCACAUAGAUGUGAUACUAAUGGAUGAAUGUGAAAAUACCUACAAAUAUGAUUUCAUAGUAGAAGAUAUAACUAAAAAAAAAUAUAGAAAACAAAAAAUGGUACCUGGCUUGCUAGAUAACAGACCAUGUAAAUCAUCAAAUUUUCAUUAUCUUUUGGGAGUUCUUCUAACAAAUGAAUGGUUUAAAAAAUUGAUGUUAAUAUAUGUACAAUGAAAUACAUGUGUUCAGGGAUGGUCUAUUCGUUUUUCGUGCCCUGGGCGAAAGAGACUCGAUAAUGCCCCUAUAUAUAUAGACCAAACCCAUACGCAACAUAAAUCAUACGCAACAUAAAUUUAUAAACAAAAAUACUAAUAAAGUUUUUAUUUAGAGUCAAUUUUUAUUUAGACCUUUCAAAACAAAGUUACCGAAAAAAAUUAACAGAUUUGAAGUUGGAUGAUACAGAGUAAUUUAUAAACUUGACUCAAAAAGUAAAAAAAAAAAUGGCCCUAAAUCCUAAUCCUAUUAGCUUAAACAGAAUACAGUAAUCCCAUUAACAAACAACCAAAUUAAAAACCAAACAAAAUAGCCCAAAUACAUUUGUUUUUCAAUUCCAUAUCAAUAUUUAGACUAUUAGUCGAAGACUAAUUUCUAAAAGUAUUCCAAUCCUAUUAAACUAAAAACCAAGCGAAGUGGAAAAACAUUGAAGAACCAUUAUAAAAUAACAUUUUUAACGGCAAUGACUUGUACAAAUAGAUGAUCAAAAUGCACUUGAAAUUGCAUUUAUAUAGUUGAGAUAACACCUACUAGCAUAACAGCUCAGCAAGAUUACAAGCAACACCUAAAUCCACUUGAAAUUGCAAAUACCAUCUUCAGGGGCAAAAUUGUCCAACUUGGAUCAAAAGUACAUUCCAGUCGGCAGCUCUAGAUAAAGUCCUCAACCAAAUUCAUAUCAAGGGCAAAAUCGUCCGGUUUAAGCUAUAAUAAUAAAAUACAAAAAUCAUAACAUUUGAUCAACAUAUAAAACCAAAAUCAUAAAACUAGAAAAGUUGCCAAGAUUCCUCUUUUUAGAUUUGAGAUUCCACAAACUGGCAUAGACCAGCCACACACGACUACACUAUGCAUUCAAAAUUCUUGAAAGAAAAGAAUCAAAACAUAAAGAAUAAGAUUUAUGUUUCUGAUUUCGGGUUAUAAUUUCGGAUUUGAUAGUAAGGUAUUCAAGUAAUUUGAUUUAUAACCAAAGAAUAAAAACGUAAUAUUUUUUUUACCGUUAGCUUGCAAUACUGGGGCAAUCGAUUUCUGAUUUUAGGCGUGAUUAUUUCGCAUGAUCGACUCCACGUUUUCUGAUUUUUUAGCGUGAUUGGCAGCUGCAUUUUGCUGCUUCUGUGCUUCACUGUGUCGGAUGCCUCAUGUCUAUGGAGCAAAAUUUGUGCCGAAAGUUUAUAUGCCCAUAAGAGGUAGACAAAUCGUUAUGCCCCUCUUCGUAAUGAUGCCCUGGGCAGUGGCCCAGCUCGCCCUGCCCUGUGUUGCUGACUUCAUCAUGUAAUUUACCACAGAUAAAAGUAAUGUAUGAAACAUACAGGAAAAAGAGUAAAUUGGUUGAACAGUGGCAUCCCAAGUUACAACAAAACAUGUAUAAACUGCGAAAUUACUUUAACCACUGUAUAGUUGGUUUUGAGAACUGACCUAAGUCCUUGUUCGCUUUCUCGUCUUGAUGUUGUUGUUCUUCUCCCAUAUUUUCUCUUCGUUCGUAGCUGUGUUGUGUUUCUAAAGAUCGAAUCUCACCUGUUGUUAUCUCUGAUGAAACCUGUAAGAAGAAAGGUGUAAUGAAAUAGCAAAAUCCUGUAAUUUGUGUCUCAGCUUAUUGUCAUUACCUUUCCCCAAAUCUAUUCCUGUGAUUUGAAGUUAUUUUGCAUCAAUCCUCUGUAGGGCGACGAAAUCGUACCCCAAAACGAAGGAAUAGAUAAAAAUAAAGAGAAACAACAGAAGUGGGUAACUGGACAGUCGGGAUCAGAAUUGCAGAAAGGAAUUGCAGAAGAAAAGAAUUAAAGGAGAGAGAGAGAGAGAGAGAGAGAGAGAGAGAGAGAGAGAGAGAGAGAGAGANGGUAACCGGACGGUUGCGUGAAGCAGAAGAACCAUCGACCUGGUGAAGAUGAUGGAAGGCGUUGUCGAUCCAUUCAUCGCUGAUCUGUGGACAUCUUCUCCCACUUACCGAUAUUGAGUGGAAUCGGUGGAGGCGUCUUCUUCUCCCACUUACGCUAAUCGGUGGAGGAGACGUAAAUGGAGACAGUGGGUGGGGGAGCAGAUGGUACAAUAGACGGUGUUGAGAUGAGGCGGUGGAGAAAGGUUCAGAAACAGAAAUCUAAACAUUGGGCGACAAAACGGUGAAGGAAA
RNAcentral lists this long non-coding RNA (18900 nucleotides) under Lactuca sativa (garden lettuce). RNAcentral's name for it is "long non-coding RNA (LSAT_LNC009818)". Lineage: Eukaryota; Viridiplantae; Streptophyta; Magnoliopsida; Asterales; Asteraceae. The record is from RNAcentral.